Molecule: long non-coding RNA, 254 nt
Filed under: Coturnix japonica (Japanese quail)
Lineage: Eukaryota; Metazoa; Chordata; Aves; Galliformes; Phasianidae
Description: lncRNA (ENSCJPG00005012788.1)
Source: RNAcentral
CUGGUUGGUCCAGUAGAUAAUGCGAUCUCUUGUUAUGUGUUUUCUCCUUGCAUCAGGGAUUCAACUCUGGCUAUGAGUCUGAAUGCUGGGUUAUCAUCUAAAAAUGACCUCCCCAGCAGCACUGCAGGGCAAGAGGGCCUUCACUUCUUAAUGAUGUGUCCCAAGGACAAGACGAGCUUGGUGCCAGCCUUGCAAAAUCCACCCUGACCCCCGAGGUACCUUUGAAAGUGGUUGAAAUUUCAAGCUUUUCUUUC